This 497-nucleotide ribosomal RNA is filed under the name uncultured bacterium. RNAcentral's name for it is "partial 16S ribosomal RNA". It matches the Rfam family "Bacterial small subunit ribosomal RNA", at positions 28 to 507 of the family's 1533-position model. The record is from RNAcentral.
GAUGAACGCUGGCGGCGUGCCUAAUACAUGCAAGUCGAGCGAACAGACGAGGUGCUUGCUCCUCUGACGUUAUCGGCGGACGGGUGAGUAAAACGUGGAUGACCUACCUAUAAGACUGGGAUAACUUCGGGAAACCGGAGCUAAUACCGGAUAAUAUAUUGAACCGCAUGGUUCAAUAGUGAAAGACGGUUUUGCUGUCACUUAUAGAUGGAUCCGCGCCGCAUUAACUAGUUGGUAAUGUAACGGCUUACCAAGGCAACGAUGCGUAGCCGACCUGAGAGGGUGAUCGGCCACACUGGAUGUGAGACUCGGUCGAGACUCCUACGGGAGGCAGCAGUAGGGACUCUUACGCAAUGGACGAGAGCCUGACGGAGCAAAGCCGCGUGAGGGAUGAUGGUCUUCGGAUCGUAAAACUCUGUUAUCAGGGAAGAACAAAUGUGUAAGUAACUAUGCACGUCAUGACGGUACCUAAUCAGAAAGCCACGGCUAACUACGUG